CAUAUCUCAGGCCCAGAGAAAUCAACGGCUGGUGAAGUCAGCUUGGGGGCUGGGGCAUGGUAAAAUAUACCCAAGUACAUAGCUUUUGCCAAGAGAGAUGUUCUUCUCUGGUUCCAGAGGUGUAAGUAGGCUGUGCAGCUGGCUGCUUCUCCCUGAGAAAACUGCGGCUGAAUGCUAGUACCAGCCCGCCGCAGCUGCUCGCAGAAAUGGUGCCUGAGGGCUCCCAGCGAUUCAGCCCUGGGAAGCUAAUGCAGUCCCUUUGACCAACUCCACCAGUUCCAUUCUCCACCACUUAGGUGCUGAUCUAGACGUGGUCUAGGUUGUCCUCAAUGAAGAGAUGAGAUGUGAGCAAAGAUGUGCAUGAAAAAAAAAAUGGGGCGAGCCAAGAAGAUAACUGGGGGAAGAACUUCCCAGGCAGAAGGAACAGCAGGUACAAAGGCCCUGAGGAUAAAGGAACGUGAUUGAGGCCAGAGGCCCAGGGGGCACAUAGCUGGAGUGAUUGAGCAGAGGGAAGGCACAGCUCUGAGGGUUCUAUGUGUGAGGCCAUUGUGAGGAGCCAGCUCAGAUCUGUGUGGCGGGGUUCCUGGGUAGAUGAGGGCUGUGCAGUGACUCAGACUGCUGGGAGCUCACACCAAGAAAUGGGUGGAAGGAGGAAGGAGGCAGUUGAGGGUGGGGCAGGGAUGCUGAGGAGUGGCUGCUCCAGGAUCAUUUUGCAGGGGACGCCUGAAGGAUCUGUGGCAACCUGGACAGGGUAGGGUGUGGAGGGGAAUAUGGGUCAAGUCCAUCUUCCCUGUGUGCAGGGUGGAAGCCAGGCUAGCCAGGUCCCAGUUGGGCUCCACUAGUGACCAUGGCUCUGUGUCAUGGCUGGACCCCCAACUUUCCAUCCUCUGUCUGCAAAUGAAUGGUGAACACCCCGCAGGGUUCCAGGCAAUGCAUAUCUGGCUCACACCUAGUGCACAGCAAACAUUCAUGAAACGGCAGCUACGACAAUAACAGUGACAGUGACUCUAUCUGGAGCAAGUCUUUUCUCAUCUCCACAUGUUUUUUUCCUUGUAAAAUGCAUACAGUGGGUUAACAAGUAUUUCUGGACCUCUUCCAUCCUUCUAGAACCUGGGAUAUGUCAGUGAGGUGGAAGAGUCCCAACCCCGUGGAGUCCCGGGGCUCCCCCGAGGAGACAGACAGCCAAAAGUAGGUGGGCUAACACAUAAAGUGACUGCAAGUUGUGCCGAGGGCCGUGAGGGACACCAGCGACGGCUGAAAGGGAAACAAAAGAGUCAGAGACACUCUGGUUAUGGUGGUCAGGGAAGACCUUCCCAAGGGGGAAUGUUUGAGCUGAGGCAUGAAGAAGGAGAAAGCAUCAGGCCGAAGGGACAGCAUCUUAGGUGGGAGAGGACUGGUUGUGUGUGAGGAGCUGAGAGGAGGGAGUUUUUAAGUGUUGAAUGAAGGCGUGUAAAAGAGUUUGCAGGCAAGGAAGGGCUAUCGGGACGUGGGUGAUGGUUGUUACACAGAUAUGGACCGUGAUUAUUAGAUUUGUGGGGGCCCUGGUUGUCGCAUAGAAGCUGGUGAUGGUUGUUGUACAGAUAUGGAUAGUGGUUGUUAGGCAGGUGUGGGCAAUGGCUGGCAUACAGGUACGGGUAAUGGUUGUUGCACAGACACGGAUGGUGGUUGUUAGACAGGUGUGGGGAUGGUUGGCAUACAGGUGUGAGCGAUGGUUGGAAUACAGGUAUAGGUGAUGGUUGUUGCACAGAUAUGGAUGGUGGUUGUUAGACAGGUCUGGGAAAUGGUUGGCAUACCGGUCUAGGUGAUGGUUGGUAUACAGGUGUGGGUGAUGGUUGUUAGACAGGUGUGGGCAGGUGUUGUUUCAUACAGGUGGGUAAUGGUUGAUAAUCAGGUGUCGGUGGUGCCUGGUAUACAGAAGUGGGCAUUGGUUGUUAUAGAAGUGGGCAAUGGUCACUACACAGAGGUGGGUGGCAGCUGUUACACACAAGUGGGUAAUGUGUGUGCCUGGUCCCCAAAGUGGUCCAAAACAAGAUGUCACACAUUCCCAUUAACAACAGACAAACAGCAUGGACAGAGACACAGUUGUGGAGGGAGAGCCCCUCCUGGCCCUGGGGCAUUGGGCCUCGCUGAGAUGGGGGCCAUCUAUGGCAGGGAGGCUGAUGGAGCUCAGGGACAAGGGACAGGCCCUGCUCUGCUCUGGGCCUUGGUUGGCUCUAAGUUACAUGGGAAGGUGGUGGCUUGGAGUGAUGCUGGCACAAGACAACACCUUCCCCUCUGCUGGGGAAGCCCUACAAGGUGUGGUGGGGAGCAUGGACUUCUGGGAAUUUGGACCCAUCCUGGUUUCAGAGAUGCAAGUUGUUUCUGGAAGCAAAGAUUCAGGGCUUAUCUUCCUGGGACAGGUAAGAUCUGGCAUCUCAUGUCUUUCCAAGGGCCUCCAAAUUAGGGCAAUGGAGGCACCUUCCAGUUGAUUCUGAGGAAGGGAAAAGUCGUGCCAUUCAUAGGAAUAGGCGCUGGGUAAAGAGCUUACUGGGCCACGUCUCACUUAAUCCUCACAACUGUCCUUUGAGGUGAGGACCAGCACUAUCCCCAUUUUACAUAUGAGGAAACAGAGACUUGGAGAGGUCUUUCUGGUAGUGAAGCCCAUGCUGUUAUUGGAACCCUCUUCCAUGGCUGGUGGGAGGGUCAACUGGUACAAAGCUUUUGGAAAAGGUUGAAGGACUUGGCAAUAUUAACUAAAGCUAAAUGCAUGCCUCCCAUGACUCCCGGGAAAAUAUUCCACACAGGGUUGUCAGUAUGUCCACCAAAAGGACGUUCAUAGCAGCACCAUUUAUAAUGUCCACAAACUAGGGACUCCUCACAUAUCCAUCACCAGGAGAAGGGAUAAAGAAACCAUAGUGUAUUUGCAGAAUGGAAUAUGACACAGCACUGAAGAUGCGUGAAUAAAAGUGACACACAACAACACGAAUGGCACUUACUGACGUAAUGUUGAGUGAAAGAAGCUGGACUCAGAAGAACAGUUACUGUCUAGCCCCAUUUAUACGAAGUUCAGGACCAGUCCAAACCAAUCUCUAGAGGGUGUUCAGAAUAACUGUCACCUGUGGGAGGGGGGCAGGGAUUGAACCUCUGUGGGGUUGGAAAUGUGUAUUUUCAUCUGGUUGCUGAUUACCUGGACAUAUUCACCUGUAAAAAUUCAUUAAGCUGUACACUUACUAUACUAUAUUUCAGUUCAUCCUCAAUAAAAAAGAAAGUAAUCUAUGCUCCUACCCUGAUGACACAAUUGGGCUGGAGUGUCACACAGGUCACAGGAAGUGAAUCCUUGGCAUAAAGUAAGUGCUGACUCUUCAGAGGCCCUUUGUCGCUUCUCCUGAUCUUUUCACAGCACACACCCAGUGGGGAGGGGACAACAUGCGGUGGUCAUGGGGUCACAGGGAUGGAGACACAGCUUCAAGGGAGGAGGGGGGACACUCAGGCAAGGGAUGCAAAUACUUGACGGUGCCUGGAAACUUCCAUGUCUUUCUGGAUGCUGAAAGCCCAUCAUAGGGGUGUAGAACCAGUCUGCUUUUAAUCGUGUCCCCUUCCUCUGUCCCUGGAUGAAGAUGUGGACAAAACAAAACAGUUGCUGUCAAUUCCAACUCAUGGUGACCCCUUGUGUGUCAGAGUAGAACUGUGCUCCAUGGUGUUUUCAAUGGCUGAUUUUUCAGAAAUAGGUUGCUAGACUUUUCUUCCAAGGCACCUCUUCGUGGACUCAAAUCUUCAAUCUUUUGAUUAGCAGACGAGCGCAAUAAUUGUGUGUACCACCUAGGGACUCUGAAGACAUGGGCAGCCUAUGACUUUUCUGGUCACUUUCUGAUAAUGAGGAGUCUUCCACAUACUUUGAGCUAGAAAAAGUCUCAUUUUCUUCAUUUUGACCAAGGCACCAUGGUUACGUAAAAUGCUGAUAUUAGGGCGAGCUGAAUGAAGGGGAUACUCAAACUCUCUAGUAGAUUUUCAAUUUUUCUGUAAAUCUAAAAUUAUUCCAAAAUUAAAAGUGCAUUAAAAAAGCAGAGGCAGUUCUUGUUCCAUGUACAUAAAGUACAACAUCAGGCAAGUCUGCGGUGAGGGGAGUUGGAGUAGUGGUUGAUGGGAGGUUGGGGCAGGGCACUUGCUGGGGCUGGUCCCAUUCUGUUUCUUGAUCUGGGGGCUGCUGUGUUCAGUUUAUGAAAGCUCUUGAAGCUGAAUGCUUAGGAUAUAUGUAAGUCAUCUUUUAGUAAAUUUUUAAUUAAAAAAAAAAAAACAGAAAUAGAGUUUUCUAGCUAUGAGGCUUCCAUAUUUAUCCAGCUAUGGGCAUUGGCUUGGAGCUGCCCACACCUCUCCUAAAAACAUCAGCCUUGGCGAGGAUUCUUGCUCUGGAUCCUGCAUCUGGCUCAUCAUCAUCUGACCUCUGGUUCUUGGGACUUGAACCAGCAGCCUGUGUAUAGCCUGCCGAUCUUGGGUUUGUCAGCCCCUGUAGCCACAUAAGUCAGGAGAAGCCUCCAGCCUGACACCUGACCCAUGGACUUGGGACUUGCCAGCUUCUACAACCUCAUGAGUCAUUUCCUUGAUGUAAAUCAAUUUCUCUCUCUCCCUCUCUAUAGACACUUCACUGGGGACUGGGAACCAUGGAGCAGGGGUCGGGAGGAAUUGAAAUAUUAAAUGGAGAGGUCAAGGAAGAGUCACCAAGAAGGUGACUUUUGAGCAGAAAGCUGCAGAGGGCAUGAGAAUGAAUUCAGAUGCUUGGAUGCAGAGCAUCUGGGCAGAGAGAUCAACAGAUGCAAAGGCCCUGAGGUAGGAGCUUGCCUGGCCAGUUUUAGGAACAACAAAGAAGCCAGUAUGGGUGGAGAAAAGUGAUGGAGGGAGAAUGGUGGGAGGGGGGUUUGAGCAGCGUUGGAGCCAGGUUAAGGAGGUAUGUAGAUCUUGGCGAGGACCUUGGCUUUGUCUGGAGUGGAGCAAGGUGAGAAUAUGGGCAGGGUUUGAGCAGGGGAAGGAGGGACUGUCUCAGUUUUCACAGGAUCCCUUCAGCUACAGUGCUGAGAGCAGACUACACCAGAAGGUGGCAAGUGGGGACAUGGAGAGGCAAGUUAGGUUUCAGGUGCAAUGGGGGGAAAGCUGAGGGUGGCUUAAGUCAGGCAGGAAGGUGGAGAAAGAGGUCAGAAGAUUCUGGGCAUAUUUUGAAGUUCACAGGAUUUGUUGCUGGAUUAGUUGGAGGGAGGUAGAGACAGAGAGAGAGAGAGUGGGCAGUGCAGGUGACUGCAGAGUUUAGGGCCUGAGCAGCCAGCAGGUGCCCGUCACUGAGAGGGACAGUGGGGGUAGGGAGCUUGUGGAGGAAGGGCUAGAAGCUCACAUUUGGCCAUGUUAAAUCUGAGAUGCCCAUGAGGAAUCCCAAGGAGAUACUGAGUAGACCACUGGGUACCCAAGUUUGCUGGCCAGAGAAGAGGUACAGGCUGCAGGUGUGAAUUUGGGUGCUGUUGUUAUUAUUAUUGUUUUAUUAUGGUAAAUAUAUAUGUAACAGAACAUUUGCGAUUUCCACAUUCUUCAUAUGUACAGUUCAGUGACAUUAACUUAUGUUCAUCGUGUUGUUUGACCAUCACCCUAAACUGUUCUCAAAUUUUUCCAUCACCCUUAAUAGAAGCUCAGUGUCCCCUAAGCAUUGAGUCCUCUUUCCCCCAGUGCUGUUGUUAUUAUUAUUUUUCCAUGCCUUAAACUCAGGCCAAGGGAAGCAGAGGGACAGAGAUGCCAGAGAUCCAGCUGUGGUUUCCAGAAACAUGCCCAGUUUUCUUUAGCUUUCCUGGGGUUUCCCAGCAGUUUCCUUCUGGGCUGGUCCCACCUCAGUACAGGUAUCUGUACUGAAACCCAGCAAAGGCCUCUCGUAUAAGAAGGCCCUUGAACAAUGGAUCAAGGGGAGGCCUUUGAAACACAAUACUGUACGGUUAUACAGAAAAAUCAAAUAGAGUGACUUAACCUACUAGCCCAGUGCGAGCUUGCCCAACCAGGAACUGAGUCUGGGUAUUUUCAUCUUGUGCUGUUCCUUGUAAGCCUGUUCUUUUUAUACCAACUCUAUGCAUGGUGAUGACUUGUCCUCUCAACCAGACUGUGGACUCUGAGGGCAGGUCCUUGUUUUCUUCUGAAGAUUUCAGGGGCAGUGACAGGGAGCUCACUACUUAACCAGGCUUAACCCUAUGAGGAUGGGCUCGAACAUGCUGAUGAUUGUGAGGAUGGCGUAGGAACAGGCAACAUUUCAUUCUGUUGUACAGAAGGAAACCAUGAGAUGGAGUCGACUCCACAGCACCUAACAGCAAUCGUACGGGGAAACCCUGGAAGUGGAGUACUAUUGUAAUGCCUUAGAAUUAUAUCCCCCGAGGGGCGAGGGACUUUUCUUUUAGUUGAGUUGAACUCUGCUGUGCCUGCGGAGUCUGUGCGGGAUGACCUGUAGGACAGCCUGCUGGGUCUGUGGGGGCUGCCACUGGGUCACUUGGACCUUCUCUUUUGUGUGGGAUGCACAGUCUGUUUCUUUGUGGGAGAGAGCUCUGGAUACCCUCCCUGAUGACGCCCUGUUUAUGCAGAGCCCCUUCCCAGCCCCACGUGGCCUGCACAGGGCCUGGCAAACUGAAGGCACUCGGUGAUUUUUCCCAGGAGCAUGGUGAGCCCAUGGAAAGGUCCAAGUCCUAAUGCUGCACAGAAUUCUGAAAGUUCAUUUAUUCAACGCCUGCUUAUGGAGUUCCUAGUAUGCACCAGGCCUCAUGUUAGGUGCUGGGAACACAAUGGUCACCAAAACAAGCCUGAUUCUCUCAGGGCAUCCCGCUAAUGCUCCCUAGGCCUUAUUGCCUUAUUGUGCCCCAAGAAAGUUCUGACUGUAUCUCUGACUCUGUGGGUUAUUUCUAGAAUUUCAGGGGGCCAAGCAGAAGUGCUGGGGGAAAAAGGUUACAGUCUUGGAAAUCCUAUGGGGUAGUUUUACUCUGCCCUAUAGAGUUGCUAUGAGUUGGAAUGAACUCGACAGUAGAGUUUUUUUUGCAGAGGGCGGGGGAUUUAUUGUUAUAUCCAAGUGGAAAUGUUGAGUCAACAGUUCAGGGCAGGCACUAGAAGCAGGACCCCUUUUUCCUUUGCCAUCUUUGAUGCAGAGCUGAAACCACCAGGCCAGCCCAGCUGUGUGGCUUAGAGGCCUCCGUGUUGAUCUAACCUCCUGCACCAAAGCCUACUUCCCACGUACCAAGAAAAAGGGGGGGAAACAGAUCAGUCUUUAAUACCAGCAAAGGAUUAAUCUGGAAUUCUGCAACACAAAAAGUCUCAAGUGUUUUUUCUCCUUUACCCAAAACUUUUAAAUUCUGCUUCUGCAACCUGAGCGUUACUAAUCUGUCUUAUUGCAUCUGCGUAUAUUGUUCUCGGUUUGCCAACCACCUGGCGAUGAGCAAUCACCCAGAAUUCUCCCAGGAGGGAAUUUUCCUAUGAGACAGGUUAUGCCAGAAGUUAUUUUUGUUUUUGCCAAGCAGGACAUUGACUUGAUUCAAUUCAGUUUAAUUCAGAUAGUUCUUGAGGGACUUCUCUGUGCCAAUGACUGGGCCAGAAAGUGGGGGGGCCCAAAAUGAUAUUUCAGUCAUUAGUUCGUUCAGUAAACAUUUCCUCCUUGCUCCUCAUGCUCCAUCCCCACUUGCCUUGUACUCUACUCCUCUGCUGGGCUAAACUAAGGUCCUUCCAGCUUCCUGGAUUGCCCUUCACCUGGAUCUUUGCAAGGUUGGCUUCUUCUCAAAGGCCCUCCUGCAGCGAGUCUGCCCUGUCUGCCCCAUCUAGGUAGCCCCACUCUGCUACCCCCCAGGCACCCUGAUUACAUCAUCCUCCUUUAUCCCAGCACACGUCAGUGCUGGGCAGAAGAACAACAGAGUCAAGCAGGAGCUUGGGCUCAUAUUUGGAUCCUGAUGAAAGCUUGUAACAGCCUCAGCUCUUCAGCAUCCACUAGGCUUUGGGUCAGCAUGGGCUAUGGGGCCAGAGAUUCAUGGGGACAAAUCUGUCUCCAUCUCAUCUUAGGCUACAGGCAAAGUGCUCAGUCUCCAAGGCUUCACCCCCUUAUCUGCAAGUAGGAGAUCAUGGCAGCUUCUGCUUUGUUCUGAGAAUGAGUAAUUUAAAAUAAAGUUUGUGCGCAGCACACAGUACGUAUUUGUGAUACACUCACAGGUUAUCCCAAAUUUCUAAAUAAACAGGGGCCACUAAAAAAAGGAAACCAAUCGCUAAUCCUGAUUUCUCCAUGACUAUCACAUCAUUCUGAUCAGAGCCUGAACACACCAGACGCUCCCAGAGUGUCAGCACAUGGAGAGAAGCUUUUAUUAUUUACAAGCAGCAGACAGCACCUCAGAACACAUGUGGAUCCGUUUUUGAACCAGUCCUCCCUUGCCUUGAAAAGACUGUCCAGGCUGAGACGGAAAACUCUUCUACACGAACCCCACUUUGUACUGUAGGCCAGCCAUGGGCAGUUACGAGGCUUGCCUGGCAGGCCUCACAGAGGGAGAAAUGACCUGCUUCUCCACUUCCGGCUUCAGUCUCUGGAGGAAGAUACAGUCAAGGAAUCAGCCCCUGCCCCAGUGAGUUGGCCAUGCUCACGGGCACAUCUGCAUUCCUCAACCAGCUCUUCCCUCUCCCCUUCCUCAGCCCCUGGGAACCAUAAAAAGGCAGGAUCCUUCUCUUCGGGGUGACUUGGCAGUGAGAAGUUCCCGGCUGCAUUGCCUGUCAUCUGACGUCACCCAGUGCCUUUCUGAGGGGAAAUGGAACACUGGGGAGCCAGCACCUUUAUCUUUUACCUCCUGCCUGCCCUGUCACAUGGUCCAUUGGGUGCCUUUCGUGUGCCAGGCACAGCUCCAGGUGCCAGAGACACAGUGGUAUAAAGACGAAGCUCCUAGCUCCUAGCGCUGACAUUCUAGUAGGGGAUGCAGAUAACCAUGAAACUCUAGGUGGUGCAAAAGGUCACACAGACAGCUACUAAUGGAAAAAUUGGUUUGAUCACAGAGGUGCCUUGGAAGAAAGGCCUGGUGAUCUGCUUCUGAAAGGUCAUAGCCAUUGAAAAUCCUGUGGAGCACAGUUCUACCCUGAUACAUAUGGGUCGCCAUUAUUCAGAAUCAACUCAGUGGCAACUGGAUUGGUUUUGGUUUGGUUUCUUAAGAGAAAAAAUUUGAAGAAAAGGAGAUAAAAGCAAACUAUUUACAGAAAAACACCAGCUAGGCAAUGGAGAAGGAAUGACAAAUUUGGAAACUCAUCACCUUCGAAAGCCCCAAUGUGACAUUCAAUUCAGUCAAGGGUCAUCAAUGAAGGCUAAAGUCAACGAGCGAAAAGUUGCUAAGGAACAGAAUGCUCACAAGGUGUCACCCCACAGGUGACACUUACAAAUGGAACAGUGUCCCUCUACAUGGAGAACCUGGCUGUCACCACCUUAACAAGUGACCAAAGUCAGCAGCACUGCUGGUGAGCCAACCUGACAUUGUGUACUUCUUUUUAUUUUAUUUUUGCAUUGUGUACUUCUUGGUGUGAUUCAGUAGGAGGUAGUCAGCAUCACCUGGGAAGUAUUCUCAUCAACAACUCUGAUCCCAAGCCCAGGUAAGCAUGUUGACCUAACAAUUUAUUUCCAGGAAAUAACCGAAGAGAGAGGAACAUGUCAGACAACACCUAGGAGGAAACGUCAGACAGAUCUAGCUGCAGGACAUUCUACAAGACAGUGGCCAAGUUUCUUUAGAAAGUCAAUGUCAAACAAGCAAAAGAAAGGAAGCGGAGAGAAAAGAAAAAAGAUAGAGGAUUAUUCUAGACUAAAAACAAAAUCCCCUAAACAGACACAGCAACCAAAUGCAAUGUGUGACCCUUGGUUGGGUUCUGAUUUAAAAAAGACACAUUCAUAAAAGACGUCUUCAGACAAUUUGGAAAAUAGAAUAGAUAUUAGGUGAUAAUAUUGAAUUAUUGAUUUUCUUAGUUGUGAUAAAGGUAAUCUAUAUAAAGAAAUUUCUCAGGAGAUGUCUACUGAAACAUUUAGAAGUGAAGUGUCAUAAAAUCUGCAAAUUGUUAAAACAAAGAAAGAUGUAGAUCUGGAGGUAGAUGUAGAGCUACAGGUUAGAUGUAGAGACAGAUGUAGAUGUAGAAAUUGAUGUAGAUCUAGAGGUUGAUAUAGAUCUAGACAUAUGUGUAGGUAUAUAGAUGUAGAUGUAGAGAUUGACGUAGAUCUAGAGGUUGAUGUAGAUAUAGAGAUAUGUGUAGAUAUAGAGAUUGAUAUAGAUAUCAGUGUUAACAGUUGUUGAAUCUAGGCGGAGGGUCUGUGUAUGUUGUGGUGCAAUGGAUUGCUUUUGUGUGGCCUUUCUCGCCAGGGUCUUGUAACUUCCACACAUCUGAUUGGGUGGGACUGUGCAAAUAAGGUAAUAGUGGCCCACCAAGGGAACUGGGCAGUUUCGUCAACCCGCUGAGCUUGAAAUGAGUCAUCCCAAGGGCAGGAAAGGAAGAAUCCCACCACCACAAAGGAAGGAGAGCUAAGUGCAGAACGUGUCCUUUGGACCUGGGAUCCCUGUGCUAAGAAGCUCUUGGAGCCAGGAGACUGAGAGAGAGAGCUGUUACACUGCGGAUGACAGGAGUCAGUGGCAGAGAAACAGCGGCAGGAGAGACUGACAGGAGACAGCGCAGUGGGCUUCCUGGCCUACGGACAAAGAAAGCUGAAAGUCUUUGGGCCAAGGCUUAUUGGUGGAGUAGAGUGCCUCUGGACACUUAAGGGCAGAGCUAAAAGAGCUUCGUAACACUUGCCUGAGCAGGGCAGAAGCCAAGGGGUCAGAGAGAGACGUACCUGUGGCACAGUUAGGAAAAGGCUGUUCUGAUGGAAGAACUAUAUCCUCAGCAUUCCUGAAUGUGAAUUAUUACCUUUUACUUCCCUAAAUAAACUUCAUCCAUAAUCAUGAGUAUUGUCUGUGAGGUCUGUG
Long non-coding RNA from Loxodonta africana (African savanna elephant), 10946 nucleotides. RefSeq lists it as uncharacterized. Lineage: Eukaryota; Metazoa; Chordata; Mammalia; Proboscidea; Elephantidae. The transcript has 8 exons. The record is from RefSeq and is a predicted model, not a curated record.